AGUGAACGCUGGCGGCGUGCUUAACACAUGCAAGUCGAACGAGAACGGGAUAUAGCUUGCUAUAUUUGUCAGCUAAGUGGCGCACGGGUGAGUAAUGUAUAGAUAACCUGCCCUUAAGAAAGGAAUAACAGUUGGAAACGACUGCUAAUGCCCUAUAUGCCUUUAAUACAUAAGUAUGCAAGGGAAACGCUUUAGUGCUUAAGGAUGGGUCUGUAUGGUAUCAGCUUGUUGGUGAGGUAAUGGCUCACCAAGGCUAUGACGCCUAACUGGUUUGAGAGGAUGAUCAGUCACACUGGAACUGAGACACGGUCCAGACUCCUACGGGAGGCAGCAGUGGGGAAUAUUGCACAAUGGACGAAAGUCUGAUGCAGCAACGCCGCGUGGAGGAUGACACAUUUCGGUGCGUAAACUCCUUUUAUAUAGGAAGAUAAUGACGGUACUAUAUGAAUAAGCACCGGCUAACUCCGUGCCAGCAGCCGCGGUAAUACGGAGGGUGCAAGCGUUACUCGGAAUCACUGGGCGUAAAGAGCGUGUAGGCGGGUAUAUAAGUCAGAAGUGAAAUCCAAUAGCUCAACUAUUGAACUGCUUUUGAAACUGUAUACCUAGAAUGUGGGAGAGGUAGAUGGAAUUUCUGGUGUAGGG
RNAcentral lists this ribosomal RNA (642 nucleotides) under uncultured Arcobacter sp. RNAcentral describes it as "bacterial SSU rRNA". It matches the Rfam family "Bacterial small subunit ribosomal RNA", at positions 28 to 680 of the family's 1533-position model. The record is from RNAcentral. Lineage: Bacteria; Pseudomonadati; Campylobacterota; Epsilonproteobacteria; Campylobacterales; Arcobacteraceae.